UCCUAUUCCCGAUCUCUCCUCCCCCGAUCUCCCUCCGCUCGACGUGCUCGCUCGCGGACGACUCGGCGACGAUACCAAAGGACCAAGUCACCGGAGCUUGGCGGAAACCAGCGGGCUCUAGGGCGUCUUCGGCCGAGGAGUUGUUGUUCGGUGGAUUCAGCGACUGGUCGUACGGCUAGGGCACAGCGGAGGCUUGAUCGCGUCGUCUCCCAACCAAUCGACCUUCCCUUUCCUCUUCUUGAGCUGCUCACAGAGCGAUCCGCAUCUUCUCAGCUAGAUUGGGUUGUGUGAUGUCGUCUAGAGGUGAUCGAUAGAGGGGAAGUGUCAGAUCACUCUAUUGCGGUUUUCCCCUGAUUGGAUCUUGGAUCUCCUCUGCCUUGCUAUUGAUUGAGGGUCAGAGGAAUCCCUGGUACGCAGAAUCGAAUCGGGUGACACCUUCUGGAGACAUUUGGUUGAGGUUGAUGCCGUCGGGAGAUAUUCCAUUCGCUAGCCCCCUUUAUCGCGAGGAUUU
Long non-coding RNA from Zingiber officinale, 511 nucleotides. RefSeq lists it as uncharacterized. The transcript is spliced from 3 exons. The record is from RefSeq and is a predicted model, not a curated record. Lineage: Eukaryota; Viridiplantae; Streptophyta; Magnoliopsida; Zingiberales; Zingiberaceae.